This 253-nucleotide ribosomal RNA is filed under the name uncultured bacterium. Its description in RNAcentral is "partial 16S ribosomal RNA". It matches the Rfam family "Bacterial small subunit ribosomal RNA", at positions 524 to 776 of the family's 1533-position model. The record is from RNAcentral.
UACGAAGGGGGCUAGCGUUGCUCGGAAUCACUGGGCGUAAAGCGCACGUAGGCGGAUCGUUAAGUCGGAGGUGAAAUCCUGGAGCUCAACUCCAGAACUGCCUUUGAUACUGGCGAUCUUGAGUCCGGGAGAGGUGAGUGGAACUGCGAGUGUAGAGGUGAAAUUCGUAGAUAUUCGCAAGAACACCAGUGGCGAAGGCGGCUCACUGGCCCGGUACUGACGCUGAGGUGCGAAAGCGUGGGGAGCAAACAGG